GUGAACGCUGGCGGUAGGCCUAACACAUGCAAGUCGAACGGCAGCACAGUAAGAGCUUGCUCUUACGGGUGGCGAGUGGCGGACGGGUGAGGAAUACAUCGGAAUCUACUUUUUCGUGGGGGAUAACGUAGGGAAACUUACGCUAAUACCGCAUACGACCUACGGGUGAAAGCAGGGGAUCUUCGGACCUUGCGCGAUUGGAUGAGCCGAUGUCGGAUUAGCUAGUUGGCGGGGUAAAGGCCCACCAAGGCGACGAUCCGUAGCUGGUCUGAGAGGAUGAUCAGCCACACUGGAACUGAGACACGGUCCAGACUCCUACGGGAGGCAGCAGUGGGGAAUAUUGGACAAUGGGCGCAAGCCUGAUCCAGCCAUACCGCGUGGGUGAAGAAGGCCUUCGGGUUGUAAAGCCCUUUUGUUGGGAAAGAAAAGCAGCAGGUUAAUACCCCGCUGUUCUGACGGUACCCAAAGAAUAAGCACCGGCUAACUUCGUG
This 491-nucleotide ribosomal RNA is filed under the name uncultured bacterium. Its description in RNAcentral is "partial 16S ribosomal RNA". It matches the Rfam family "Bacterial small subunit ribosomal RNA", at positions 29 to 507 of the family's 1533-position model. The record is from RNAcentral.